UACCAUAUUCCUGACGAUUUCUUCACUUCGUUUCUGCAAAAAUAAUUUCGAACGAAGAACAGCAGAAGAUUUGAAUCAGACGACAGAUUUUGUAAAUAAAAAGAUUCCAAUGAGGAAGCCUUAAAAAACCACCUCCUAAUAUAUAGGUCAAAAUCAAUCCUGAUGUGAAAGAACAUCAUAGGGAACAUCUUUGCAUUAACCAGGUUCAAUACAUUCUAACUGAUCCCGCAUUUUCUUUGGGAAUGCAUACAUUUGUGUUCCACACGAGUUAUGCUACAGCAGUUGUCAGGUUCAUGCUCUCAUCUUGUUUUCGAAAGAAAUGAAAAGAAAAGAACA
Molecule: non-coding RNA, 336 nt
Organism: Benincasa hispida (wax gourd)
Lineage: Eukaryota; Viridiplantae; Streptophyta; Magnoliopsida; Cucurbitales; Cucurbitaceae
Source: RefSeq, a predicted model, not a curated record